ACGUGACUCUGUGGCAUGGCGCUGUUGUUUUAAUGUGCAGAGUAUCUACAAUACUAUUAAUUUCUAAUAACCCAAGCGUCUAUAUGCAUGGUUAAAAUAAAUAUUUGAAAUGCUGCCUCCUCCAGCCGUGUUUCACUUCCUCUGGGAGAUCAGUACAGACCUGGUGAAAGAUGGAGCGUCAGUGCGAACGUAUGGCAGACUUAUAAGUUAUGAGCCAGAAGGUCCCAAAGCCAUUCUAAGUGGUCAGCAGUCUUCUGCACAGUGCCAUGUGUCUGUACAAACAACACUUGUUGAACCAUUCCAGCCUACACUUGGAGCUCAGUAUUUUGUUCUUGGUGAAAUUGAAAAGACUGAUGGAUUAAGUGGAGCUGUACUGCAUGCUCGCGCUUUGAGUAGUGUUGAUGGCGUAGACCUCACACUAUUGCAAAAGGCCAUUAUGGAACAGAGAUGUUUCUUUAAGGAGAGAAUGCCUGAGAUGAAUAUGCAAACUCCAAACUGUGAAAAAGGAAAAACCUGUAAAAUGUCAACUCUGUUGAUGGCAUCAGGAUCAGGUGGAGGAAACAUAAAGCAAACUCCAGGAAAUUUUUUGAUUGUCCCAUCAUUGGACUGAACCUCCCAGUUGUCAAUGUCUGUGUUGGACUUCAGAUUAAACAGCUCUCCUCUGUUCAAUGAAGCCUGAGAAGAAUCCCAUUGAUUAGCAAAUUAAUAGAAGAAUAUAAAAUUAGUAACCAAAGCUUUGCAUGUUAGAAAAAAAAAUCUUUACAUUUUAAUAACACAAAAAUAACAUUAUAUUUUUUUUCUAGAGAUUCUAACCUUGGGAGUUUUCCAGUCACACAGAGACUCAACCGUGGUAGUUCUGCUUGGAGGAGUGCGACGAAGCUUUAGUGGUGUGAUAGAGGUGCUUCGCUUUCUCAGAAACAGUUGUUUUCACGGAUUCCUCUAAACCAACACACAGGACGACAAUGAUCUCAUAUUGUAGCAAAACGUAAUUUCAUAAAAAUCUCACACCAAAUUCCAUUAUGGGUCAGAUAAAGGACACAUCCAAAAUGUGUACUGCUGGGGUGCCUACAGGAUGUCCAGGUAGGGAAAUACUGAAUUACAUAAUACAUAGCGCAUACAAUUACUAAAACGUAACAAUUUUUCUGAAUGGUUCUGAUGUCUACUUUUAUCUAUUCUAUUUUAGAACUUAUAAAAUAUUUGUUUCUUUCUGCCUUCUACAACAUUUUACUAGAACUAUAUUGUGUUUGUCUUUAAAAUGUCACGUUUGCAUGACCGUGUCGAAACAAUGGACCAACACCCAGCAGCCUAGUGGAGGAACAAGAACGUCAGCCCUUACAGGAACUGAGCUUAGGCAGCCAGGACACUCCUUACACUUUUCAUUUUUUAAAAUCUGGUUUUAUUGAGAGACCCUGAUUACUGCAUGUUUACACAACAUGUUAACACCUUUAUUUAGCUGUUCAGUUGUAUCUAUAUGCAUUAAUCAGAUUUGACUAGUGGUGUGUUCUGAUCUCUAUACAACAAUUCUGACUUCUAAGAACAUGCUUACAGGUGAACAAGGAUGACAUAUAUUUUAUAUAUAUAAUUAACAAAAUAAAUAGAUGGUACUGAUUUUAUAUUAUACAAAGUCAAUAAAAUGUUCCUAUUAAGUAGAGCAGACAGGGAGCUCAAUUUGGAAUGAAAUUCAAAUUGUAAUUCUAAAUUUGAACAUUUGAACAUGACUGAUGUGGUUAAAUAAGCUGUUUAUAUAAAAUAAACAUUGCAUGCACAAAAAUGUGCAUUAGAGAUUUAGAAUAUGGUGGCCUGAUGUCCAGAAAUCCAUAACCACACGAUUUUAUUCCAGAUUUUAUAACUGUUAAAUUAAUGUACUAUGUUUUUUUUUUGUUUUUUUUAAGAUAUGCAUUUUCUGUUUCAUGUCUCUGUUCUUCAUCAACCCUGAACAAACCAUAAUAAUUCCAACUUGUGUUUGGAAAGCAAAGGUUAUAUUGUAACCAAAACAAUCUAGGCCAACAGAACUGGUUAUUCUUUCUUGUUUCCAUUUCCUUGUAAAAUGUAAAAUGAGAAUAAAAUAUCACUGACCAAGAAACCAAUUUUAUCCACAAAUUGGUUGUUGUAGGCCCCAGCAAAUAAAAUUUCUAAAAAAUUACAGAUCACUUCUUGAUUGUAAAGGGUUAACCAUUACAGAUUUCAGAUCUAAUGUUCCCAGGAAAACAGAGUCAACCAUCUUUACACCUUCACUGGGCUCUGAUUACCCGAGUCUGUCUAAAACUGAUCUCAGACCUGUCUGGCAACAGAACAGACCCAAAACAGCCUAGAGGAUAAAAUAACCAAC
This is an RNA transcript of Labeo rohita (rohu), 2329 nucleotides long. It is a transcript of the gene named TEN1 subunit of CST complex, with no coding region annotated. The record is from RefSeq and is a predicted model, not a curated record. NCBI's taxonomy places the organism in Eukaryota, Metazoa, Chordata, Actinopteri, Cypriniformes, Cyprinidae. The transcript is spliced from 6 exons.